AUUCUGACAUAGAAAUGUUGGCCAUGGCAGAUGGCAGAUAGAGAGCUUCCUCCAGAUGGACAGGACCACGUCUGCUACUCCCUGGGGAUAACUGCUCCACCAAGCCCGCUCACAUCACCGAAGCCUGCAUUUGCCCUCUGGUCUUGCUGAAAUGAAACCCGGACACUCAGAGCUUUCCUGCCACCUCCCUGACCAAGCCUACCCAAGAAGAGGCAAGAACCCUGAGUUUUAUGCCAGGUGCAGUGGCUCACACCUGUAAUCCCAGAACCUUAGGAGGCCAAGGUGGAAGGAUUGCUAGAGACCAUGAGUUCAAGGCCAGCCUGGCCAACAUAGCCAGACUCCAUCUUUACAAAUCAUUUACAAAAAAAAAAAAAAACUAGCCAGGCAUUGUGGUGUGUACCUGUAGUCUGUAAUCCCAAUUACGCAUGAGGCUGACGCAGGAGGAUCACCUGAACCCAGGAGUUCGAGGCUGCAGUGAGCUGUGAUCAUGCCACUGCACUCCAGCCUGGGCAACAGAGCAAGACCCUGUCUCUUAAAAAUAAAACAAACAAACAAAAAACCCUG
RNAcentral lists this long non-coding RNA (564 nucleotides) under Homo sapiens (human). Its description in RNAcentral is "HSALNT0240687". The record is from RNAcentral. Lineage: Eukaryota; Metazoa; Chordata; Mammalia; Primates; Hominidae.